Long non-coding RNA from Hemicordylus capensis (graceful crag lizard), 1231 nucleotides. RefSeq lists it as uncharacterized. The record is from RefSeq and is a predicted model, not a curated record. The transcript has 3 exons. NCBI's taxonomy places the organism in Eukaryota, Metazoa, Chordata, Lepidosauria, Squamata, Cordylidae.
UUGGAUUCAUUAGCCGAGUUUGAACUCGUCCGGAUUAAUAUUGGGCUGCAAAGGCUCUCAAAGGGGAGAGAGCCGCCCUGAGCCCCUCUCUGUCUCCGCGAGCCUUUGGGAAGGAAAGGGGUUUCCAUCGCUUGCCCUUGCAAGGAGGCGAAGCGAGAAGCAGGAAGAGACAGGCAGCAAGCCCAGCCGGCUGGAGGCAGGGCUCACCUCGGCUUCACCUUCUAACCUUCCCCGCUCCACCCGCAGCGCACCAGCCUCGGGCGGCUGCUGCUGCUACUAGUACGCGAGUGCCAAGAGCCUGACUCAGGGUUGGCUUCAGGCUGAGCAGGAAUGGGCGGGGGCGGGCCUGCCGCUGAGCACUCUGGGAAGGUUCUUUUAUUUUGGCGGCGGCGGCGUGAGGCAAAUUGGCGUAGAAGCUGGGCCUGUAGCAGCCGGUUGAGUCGGACGUGUUGUGACUCCUGGCUUAUAAUAAGAAGCCACGCACUCUCCUUUUAAAGGUCUCCCGGUUUUAGCCAUGCUUAUCGAGCAUCGCUUGCCCUUGCCAGGUGGUGAAGAGAAGCGGGAAGAGGCAGGCAGCAAGUACAGCUUUUUCCAAGGAGUGCGCGAAUCAGGUCCAUGGUGUACCCUAAGUGGUGGUGAACAUCCGAGACUCAUUCACACGUUAUGUUCAACACUCGUACAAUGAGUGUUCAGUGUGUGCAGCUAUACAUCUGUACACAGAACAGGCAUAUGAUAUAGAUGCAGGUUCUGGCCAGACUGGGGAAGGAGCCGCUUGUAGCCCAGUUACCUGAUGUUUCUGAGUGAAGACUGUUGAUCUUGCUGCAUGGGCUCCAUUGCAAUAGAUGGUUCUUUAUCAAGUAACAGAUUUGUGACGACACCAGUGGUUGCUCAUAUGUAACAUUUUGAUCCUGUCUCACUCAUUGCUGCAAAACUGUGCAUAUAUAUGGAAGGAAAGAUGAAGAGUUGAUUGAAAAGGAGAAUGUGGCAGAGUGGCUGAAAUGAGCAAGAGUAAGGUGUGUGGAGUGAAUGAGAGUUUUGCCACAAAAUUGGCUUUAAAAGCAAGCAAGCAACCAACAUUACUGUGAUGAAGAAAUAAAAAUGUUGCUGUGAUGUAAAAAGAGGGCUGGAAUAAUAAAGUGAUGAUUAAAGAAAAGGUUUGUCCCAAUGAAUCAAAAUAAGAUUUAUACCUCUUUAAUGAGACAAUGAGGUUCAUUCAUUCAUUUGAUUUCUA